This 497-nucleotide ribosomal RNA is filed under the name uncultured bacterium. RNAcentral's name for it is "partial 16S ribosomal RNA". It matches the Rfam family "Bacterial small subunit ribosomal RNA", at positions 28 to 507 of the family's 1533-position model. The record is from RNAcentral.
GAUGAACGCUGGCGGCGUGCCUAAUACAUGCAAGUCGAGCGAACAGACGAGGAGCUUGCUCCUCUGACGUUAGCGGCGGACGGGUGAGUAACACGUGGAUAACCUACCUAUAAGACUGGGAUAACUUCGGGAAACCGGAGCUAAUACCGGAUAAUAUAUUGAACCGCAUGGUUCAAUAGUGAAAGAGGGUUUUGCCGUCACUUAUAGAUGGAUCCGCGCCGCAUUAGCUAGUUGGUAAGGUAACGGCUUACCAAGGCAACGAUGCGUAGCCGACCUGAGAGGGUGAUCAGCCACACUGGAACUGAGACACGGUCCAGACUCCUACGGGAGGCAGCAGUAGGGAAUCUUCCGCAAUGGGCGAAAGCCUGACGGAGCAACGUCGCGUGAGUGAUGAAGGUCUUCGGAUCGUAAAACUCUGUUAUUAGGGAAGAACAAAUGUGUAAGUAACUAUGCACGUCUUGACGGUACCUAAUCAGAAAGCCACGGCUAACUACGUG